ACAGCAGCGCCACGGUAAUACAGAGGGUGCGAGCGUUAAUCGGAUUUACUGGGCGUAAAGCGUGCGUAGGCGGCUUUUUAAGUCGGAUGUGAAAUCCCUGAGCUUAACUUAGGAAUUGCAUUCGAUACUGGGAAGCUAGAGUAUGGGAGAGGAUGGUAGAAUUUCAGGUGUAGCGGUGAAAUGCGUAGAGAUCUGGAGGAAUACCGAUGGCGAAGGCAGCCAUCUGGCCUAAUACUGACGCUGAGGUACGAAAGCAUGGGGAGCAAACAGGAUUAGAUACCCGGGUAGUCCCUGUCUCUUAUACA
This 305-nucleotide ribosomal RNA is filed under the name uncultured bacterium. RNAcentral's name for it is "partial 16S ribosomal RNA". It matches the Rfam family "Bacterial small subunit ribosomal RNA", at positions 508 to 808 of the family's 1533-position model. The record is from RNAcentral.